UACGUAGGGGGCAAGCGUUGUCCGGAAUCAUUGGGCGUAAAGCGCGUGUAGGCGGUUCGGUAAGUCUGCUGUGAAAGUCCAGGGCUCAACCCUGGGAUGCCGGUGGAUACUGUCGGGCUAGAGUGCGGAAGAGGCGAGUGGAAUUCCUGGUGUAGCGGUGAAAUGCGCAGAUAUCAGGAGGAACACCGAUUGCGAAGGCAGCUCGCUGGGACGUAACUGACGCUGAGACGCGAAAGCGUGGGGAGCAAACAGG
This 253-nucleotide ribosomal RNA is filed under the name uncultured bacterium. RNAcentral describes it as "partial 16S ribosomal RNA". It matches the Rfam family "Bacterial small subunit ribosomal RNA", at positions 524 to 776 of the family's 1533-position model. The record is from RNAcentral.